RNAcentral lists this long non-coding RNA (1002 nucleotides) under Monodelphis domestica (gray short-tailed opossum). RNAcentral describes it as "lncRNA (ENSMODG00000042966.1)". The record is from RNAcentral. Lineage: Eukaryota; Metazoa; Chordata; Mammalia; Didelphimorphia; Didelphidae.
CCAGAGCUCGGGGCCACAGCCCAGAGGCUGCAGAGAGCGCGUCCCGUUUCCCUGGGGACCAGGCGGAGAGUGGGAGGGGCCGUGCCUGCCGUCCCCGGGGAGGAGGCGCAAACAGGGUCUCCCAUUGGCUGCUGCUGUCCCGGGAGCAAGCAGGACCUAAGGGGCAGGAAAAGCGACAGGUGGGAGCUCAGGGCUGGGGGGAGGGCGCUUCUCUCUCCUCCUCCUGGCGUGCCCCAUCCCCCGCCACGUUGUGGUCAAUUGCCUCCCCACCACCCCUGGCUCCCUCGCCUCCAGACGGAGGGGACUGGGAAUUCCCGAGAGACUGGAGGAUCACGGGAGCAGAGAGAGAUCCGAGAACUCAGGGACCAAGAAGUCCAACUGCCUCACUCUACUGGUGAGGAAACUGAGGGUCUUCUGGAGAGGGGAGAAGGCCAAGGAGAUCAGAGCCUCGAGGAUAUAUUCAUCGAAGCUUUCAUUCCCAAGAAGCUGACUGACUGGUCUGCUAACUGCUGCUGUCUGAAAAUAUGCCUGUUCCUGACUGCUGUUGCUGCUGGUGCUACUUCUGUCAAGUGGAUUUCAAAAGAGCUGUUACUGAGACUGCUGCUUGAAUCAAAGAGGACUCCUGUGUUGUGAGAUUCUUUAGCCCUGGUCCUUGUUCCUACCAAACCCCCUUAACAUUAAUUACUAAUUUAAGAAUUUAAUUUAGAAUAAUUAUAGAAGGUAUAAGGGUUUUAAUCUCUGAGUUAAGAGUUAUGUAUUCCCUAAUUCCCCUUUUCCUUUAACCCUUUAGGCAAAUAACCCUGUUACUUUAUAUAUAUAGUUAGUUAGUUAGUUAGUUAGCUAAUUAGUUACUUAGUUAGUUUUGAAUCCUUCUUUUAACCCAUCUAUUACAUGGUAUUUGUUGCUAGGCAAUUUUUUCCUACCUCUUUCCUAUAUUUCCCACUUUAAUAUCUCUGCCUUGCUGUAAAUAAAAGCUGCCAACAGUCAUUUUGACUUAAGAAG